UCUUUUUUUUAUUGCGUCACGCGACGACGGGGUAUGUGCGAAGAAAUAUUUUAAUUAUAUUGUUUUGGACGGUCGGUGGCCGUUUUAUGCCGUGGUAGAUCGGGGUUUCGCGUCGGGUGAGCUCGGAGGGGUUGAAUCGCCGAGAUGGAGCUGGAGGGGAAGGGAUAAGGAGAAACGGAGUGCAGAACAUGUCGAAUGCGAUCAUACCAGCACUAAAGCACCGGAUCCCAUCAGAACUCCGAAGUUAAGCGUGCUUGGGCGAGAGUAGUACUAGGAUCGGUGACCUCCUGGGAAGUUCUCGUGUUGCAUCCC
Molecule: ribosomal RNA, 312 nt
Filed under: Avena barbata (slender wild oat)
Lineage: Eukaryota; Viridiplantae; Streptophyta; Magnoliopsida; Poales; Poaceae
Source: RNAcentral